Molecule: long non-coding RNA, 692 nt
Organism: Coffea arabica (coffee)
Lineage: Eukaryota; Viridiplantae; Streptophyta; Magnoliopsida; Gentianales; Rubiaceae
Source: RefSeq, a predicted model, not a curated record
AACUUUAACAUUCCUCAUCACUCUUCCAUGUUUCCCUCAAAUCAAUGACCAAACCAACCCAACCUUAGGUCCCUAGCCACUACCGCUGCUACUACCACUACUACCACCAAUCCACCACACCCACCACUACCACUGCCACCCCUCAAUCGAAAAUUAGUUCCCUAGUUGUAACCUUCCUCCCUGUUUGUCGACCAAGUUCAAAAGUAAUAGCAGCAGCCAUUUCGCGAGCUCAUCGAGGUAAAGGCACAAGCACAAUAUGGCCAUGUCUCCCCAAGAUGUGUCUUCACAAUUAGUUAAAUCAACUGGUGAUUGUGCUGGGAUUAACAAUGAGGAAGAGUUGGAAUAUUCUAUUGGAGAUGAAGAACUAAGGAGUGAAGAAAAGAGGUUAGAAGGUGAUAUAUAAGCACCCGCUCAAAGUUUGAAUCAAGAGGCUACUCAAGGUGAUAGUCUAGAUACUUUUAGAAAGAAAAAGAGAGCCAGAAAGUCCAAAACCUGGGUUGAUUCAAAGAUGUGGAAGUUUAGCCUAAAAAAACACUUUACUCGGUAUGUAUGAAUUGCAGAGCUAAAUUCAAGAAGACAAAAAUUGGUACAACUUCAAGUUUGUUAGGGAAUCUUAAAAAUGGUCCUAAACGAUUGGAGAAACUAAAAAAAUCAGAGGCAAAAUAGCAAAAUAUUAAUUUUCCAAUUGCAGA